AUUGAACGCUGGCGGCAGGCCUAACACAUGCAAGUCGAACGAGUGGCGGACGGGUGAGUAAUGUCUGGGAAACUGCCUGCUGGAGGGGGAUAACUACUGGAAACGUUAGCUAAUACCGCAUACCAUCAGAUGUGCCCAGAUGGGAUUAGCUUUUUGGUGGGUUAACGGCUCACCAAGGCUACGAUCCCUAGCUGGUCUGAGAGGAUGCCCAUCAACACUGGAGCUGAGAGACGGUCAAGACUCCUACGGGAGGCAGCAGUGGGGAAGAUUGCACAAUGGGCGCAAGCCUGAUGCAGCCAUGUCGCGUGUAUGAAGAAGGCCUUCGGGUUGUAAAGUACUUUCAGCGGGGAGGCGUUACACGCAGAAGAAGCACCUGCUAACUCCGUGCAAGCAGCCGCGGUAAUAC
RNAcentral lists this ribosomal RNA (406 nucleotides) under uncultured bacterium. RNAcentral describes it as "partial 16S ribosomal RNA". It matches the Rfam family "Bacterial small subunit ribosomal RNA", at positions 30 to 526 of the family's 1533-position model. The record is from RNAcentral.